AACGAACGCUGGCGGCAUGCCUAACACAUGCAAGUCGAACGAGACCUUCGGGACUAGUGGCGCACGGGUGCGUAACGCGUGGGAACCUGCCCUUAGGUUCGGAAUAACUCCCCGAAAGGGGUGCUAAUACCGGAUAAUGUCUUCGGACCAAAGAUUUAUCGCCCUUGGAUGGGCCCGCGUUGGAUUAGCUUGUUGGUAGGGUAAAAGCCUACCAAGGCGACGAUCCAUAACUGGUCUGAGAGGAUGAUCAGCGACACUGGGAGUGAGACACGGCCCAGACUCCUACGGGAGGCAGCAGUGGGGAAUAGUGGACAAUGGGCGAAAGCCUGAUCCAGCAAUGCCGGGUGAGUGAUGAAGGCCUUAGGGUUGUAAAGCUUUUUUACCCGGGAUGAUAAUGACAGUACCGGGAGAAUAAGCCCCGGCUAACUCCGUG
RNAcentral lists this ribosomal RNA (433 nucleotides) under uncultured bacterium. RNAcentral describes it as "partial 16S ribosomal RNA". It matches the Rfam family "Bacterial small subunit ribosomal RNA", at positions 29 to 507 of the family's 1533-position model. The record is from RNAcentral.